RNAcentral lists this long non-coding RNA (221 nucleotides) under Elaeis guineensis (African oil palm). RNAcentral's name for it is "long non-coding RNA (EGUI_LNC020411)". The record is from RNAcentral. Lineage: Eukaryota; Viridiplantae; Streptophyta; Magnoliopsida; Arecales; Arecaceae.
AACCAAAUUACAGUAUGACUUCUGCUCAUGUAUUUUCAUCAGUGUUGUUGUCCAUAUAUCUGUUAGUGAAAAUUCACAGCAUCAAAUUGCUUAAAGUAGGACAUUGCCCAUUUAAGCAAGUUCCUUUAUUCGUAGCCCGCAACCUUACUAGGGUCAGUGCAUGUGAUGGAAUCCUAGUUAAUGUGCAAACACCUUUGCUGUCUAAGCAGUGCUACUCCAUG